RNAcentral lists this ribosomal RNA (225 nucleotides) under uncultured Asaia sp. RNAcentral's name for it is "partial 16S ribosomal RNA". It matches the Rfam family "Bacterial small subunit ribosomal RNA", at positions 568 to 792 of the family's 1533-position model. Lineage: Bacteria; Pseudomonadati; Pseudomonadota; Alphaproteobacteria; Acetobacterales; Acetobacteraceae. The record is from RNAcentral.
UGCGUAGGUGGUUUGUUAAGUCUGAUGUGAAAGCCCUGGGCUUAACCUUGGGGCUGCAUUUGAUACGUGUAGACUAGAGUGUGAGAGAGGGUUGUGGAAUUCCCAGUGUAGAGGUGAAAUUCGUAGAUAUUGGGAAGAACACCGGUGGCGAAGGCGGCAACCUGGCUCAUUACUGACGCUGAGGCGCGAAAGCGUGGGGAGCAAACAGGAUUAGAUACCCUAGUA